CGGGAUCCGUCCCGUAAAGGAAUGUAGCUCAAAAUUUGAGCUGAACCUUGGU
This is a regulatory RNA element of 52 nucleotides. It matches the Rfam family "eL15-Euryarchaeota ribosomal protein leader". The record is from Rfam.